This 253-nucleotide ribosomal RNA is filed under the name uncultured Parabacteroides sp. RNAcentral's name for it is "partial 16S ribosomal RNA". It matches the Rfam family "Bacterial small subunit ribosomal RNA", at positions 524 to 776 of the family's 1533-position model. The record is from RNAcentral. Lineage: Bacteria; Pseudomonadati; Bacteroidota; Bacteroidia; Bacteroidales; Tannerellaceae.
UACGGAGGAUGCGAGCGUUAUCCGGAUUUAUUGGGUUUAAAGGGUGCGUAGGUUGUUUUUUAAGUCAGCGGUGAAAGUUUGUGGCUCAACCAUAAAAUUGCCGUUGAAACUGGAGGGCUUGAGUAUGUUUGAGGCAGGCGGAAUGCGUGGUGUAGCGGUGAAAUGCUUAGAUAUCGCGCAGAACUCCGAUUGCGAAGGCAGCGUACCGGCGCCAGACUGACGCUGAGGCACGAAAGCGUGGGGAUCGAACAGG